RNAcentral lists this ribosomal RNA (118 nucleotides) under Petromyzon marinus (sea lamprey). The record is from RNAcentral. Lineage: Eukaryota; Metazoa; Chordata; Hyperoartia; Petromyzontiformes; Petromyzontidae.
GCAUAUGACCAAGUUACCCAACAUGCCCUCAAUCUCUUCAGAUCUCAGAAGCUAAGCAGAGUUUAGCUUGAAUAGUGCGUGGCUAGGUGACCACCUUGCAUAACAAAUGUUAUAGGCC